RNAcentral lists this ribosomal RNA (402 nucleotides) under uncultured bacterium. Its description in RNAcentral is "bacterial SSU rRNA". It matches the Rfam family "Bacterial small subunit ribosomal RNA", at positions 355 to 749 of the family's 1533-position model. The record is from RNAcentral.
UGGGGAAUAUUGGACAAUGGGCGCAAGCCUGAUCCAGCCAUGCCGCGUGUGUGAAGAAGGCCUUCGGGUUGUAAAGCACUUUAAGUUGGGAGGAAGGUUCGAUGGAUAAUACCCAUCGGAAUUGACGUUACCAACAGAAUAAGCACCGGCUAAUUCCGUGCCAGCAGCCGCGGUAAUACGGAAGGUGCGAGCGUUAAUCGGAAUUACUGGGCGUAAAGCACACGUAGGUGGCUCCUUAAGUCGGAUGUGAAAGCCCUGGGCUUAACCUGGGAAUUGCAUCCGAUACUGGGUGGCUAGAGUACGGUAGAGGGAGGUGGAAUUCCAGGUGUAGCGGUGAAAUGCGUAGAGAUCUGGAGGAACACCGGUGGCGAAGGCGGCCUCCUGGACUGAUACUGACACUGA